AUGAAGUUUUUUUAAAGCUAAAUUUAGUUUUUUACUUGUGUCUGAGAUGUUAUCACCACUGCAAUAAAUAGCCAAAUCAUCAGCAAACUGUAAAUUGUUUACUUCUGAUCCUAACAUUUCAUUUAGCCUAUGGAUAUAAAGUAUAUACAAAAGAGGACUCAAAAUACCACCUUGACAAACGCCUUUAGUAGAUAAUCUGGGUCCAAAAAUUGAAUUAGAGCUAAUUUUUACAUAAACUUCCCUUCCACUAAUGAAUUCAUGAAUCCACCUUACGCAUUUUUCAGGUAUUCCCAAAGAAGAAAGAGUUGUACAUAAAACUGAAUGGUUAAUGUUAUUAAAUGCGCCUACAAUAUCAAAAAAGAUACAUAUAAGAUGUUUAUUACUGUUAAUGGCAGUGUUAAUAUCAUGGAAGAGAUGACCUAUACUUUCUCUUGCUGAUCGACCACGACGAAACCCAAAUUGAUUUCUUGGAAGCAUAUGAUUACUUUCAAUAUAAAACUCAAGACGCUGUUUUAUUAGUUGCUCAAAGAGUUUGCCUAAACAGGAUGUUAAAGCUAUUGGUCGAGUCCAGGACAUCUCUUCCACGAGCACUGACGGAUUGACAGCCCCAAAUGGUGUGAUGAGCAUUAAAAUCGCCUGAUACAAAACAUGGUUUAGAUGGAGCAGCGUUCCGAGUUCUUACAAAACUUUGCUAAAUGGCCAUACCUGAGACACCGGAAACAUUGUUUGACUGGCGGAACAUACGCUGAAAUAUCAUGCCGCCAUCCGUCCAAGUCGACGUAGUCUGGAAGUACUGACGUCGCGAAGGUGAUGGCUACAGUCUGCAGGGGCUGUUGAAUAAAAUUGUUGUCAAUCUUUGUCCUCUUUGUGAAUCUCCUUACAGAUAUGAUCUUCUUGUAACUAGACAGCAUGGUGAAGAUUUUUUUGUUAGUCA
This is a long non-coding RNA of Plutella xylostella (diamondback moth), 934 nucleotides long. RefSeq lists it as uncharacterized. NCBI's taxonomy places the organism in Eukaryota, Metazoa, Arthropoda, Insecta, Lepidoptera, Plutellidae. The record is from RefSeq and is a predicted model, not a curated record.